UACGUAGGGUGCGAGCGUUAAUCGGAAUUACUGGGCGUAAAGCGUGCGCAGGCGGUUCGUCGUGUCCGAUGUGAAAGCCCCGGGCUCAACCUGGGAAUGGCAUUGGAAACUGGCGGGCUUGAGUGUGGCAGAGGGGGGUGGAAUUCCGCGUGUAGCAGUGAAAUGCGUAGAGAUGUGGAGGAACACCGAUGGCGAAGGCAGCCCCCUGGGCUAACACUGACGCUCAGGCACGAAAGCGUGGGGAGCAAACAGG
RNAcentral lists this ribosomal RNA (253 nucleotides) under uncultured bacterium. RNAcentral describes it as "partial 16S ribosomal RNA". It matches the Rfam family "Bacterial small subunit ribosomal RNA", at positions 524 to 776 of the family's 1533-position model. The record is from RNAcentral.